Non-coding RNA from Myodes glareolus (Bank vole), 419 nucleotides. The record is from RefSeq and is a predicted model, not a curated record. Lineage: Eukaryota; Metazoa; Chordata; Mammalia; Rodentia; Cricetidae.
ACUGACUGAAAGCUGUCAGCGUCCAACGGUCAUCCUAAUUUCUUCUUCAUUAGAUUUGGUGGUAAGCAAGUGCACUGGUUCACCCAAGGGGUGAAGAGAUACUGUCGGCUAAAGAGAAACUGCAAAAGCGGUGGACAGCACAGGCGAAACGCUAAACUCUGAAAAAAGGUCUCACUAUGUAGCCCUGGAUGGCCUGAAACUUACUACAUAGACCAGACUGGCUUCAAGCUCACAGAGAUCCACCUGCUUGAAAUUCAAGCCACGAGCAAUCAUGCCAUGCAGCAAUGUUUUAAAUGGGCAAAGAUGCUACCCCUGCAUAUCCGGAUGGGACUUGGUGUAACCUCCUUCUGGGGAUGAAGCACAUUUGUGGCUAUGACAAUUGGAGAGGUGGAGUAGAGUAAACCGCUUACUCUCUCUUA